GACGAACGCUGGCGGCGUGCUUAACACAUGCAAGUCGAGCGGUAAGGCCCUUUCGGGGUACGACGAGCGGCGAACGGGUAGGAGUAACACGUGGGUGGACCUCGCCCUCCAGCUCUGGGAGUAAGACCUCGGGAAACCGGGGUACCGUAAUAACUGGAGUAUGACUCCAUGACGCAUGUUGUGGGGUGGGAAAGACCUUG
Molecule: ribosomal RNA, 200 nt
Filed under: uncultured bacterium
Lineage: Bacteria
Description: partial 16S ribosomal RNA
Rfam family: Bacterial small subunit ribosomal RNA
Source: RNAcentral